Molecule: ribosomal RNA, 481 nt
Filed under: uncultured bacterium
Lineage: Bacteria
Description: bacterial SSU rRNA
Rfam family: Bacterial small subunit ribosomal RNA
Source: RNAcentral
GACGAACGCUGGCGGCGUGCUUAACACAUGCAAGUCGAACGGUAAGGCCCUUCGGGGUACACGAGUGGCGAACGGGUGAGUAACACGUGGGUGAUCUGCCCUGCACUUCGGGAUAAGCCUGGGAAACUGGGUCUAAUACCGGAUAUGACCGCUCCUCGCAUGGGGUGUGGUGGAAAGAUUUAUCGGUGCAGGAUGGGCCCGCGGCCUAUCAGCUUGUUGGUGGGGUAAUGGCCUACCAAGGCGACGACGGGUAGCCGGCCUGAGAGGGCGACCGGCCACACUGGGACUGAGACACGGCCCAGACUCCUACGGGAGGCAGCAGUGGGGAAUAUUGCACAAUGGGCGCAAGCCUGAUGCAGCGACGCCGCGUGAGGGAUGACGGCCUUCGGGUUGUAAACCUCUUUCAGCAGGGACGAAGCGCAAGUGACGGUACCUGCAGAAGAAGCACCGGCCAACUACGUGCCAGCCGCCGCAGUAAAAC